RNAcentral lists this ribosomal RNA (428 nucleotides) under Chloropicon mariensis. RNAcentral's name for it is "partial Bacterial large subunit ribosomal RNA". It matches the Rfam family "Bacterial large subunit ribosomal RNA", at positions 1315 to 1836 of the family's 2925-position model. Lineage: Eukaryota; Viridiplantae; Chlorophyta; Chloropicophyceae; Chloropicales; Chloropicaceae. The record is from RNAcentral.
AGAAGUGUGAGAAACACUUCCGCCGAAAGUCCAAGGGUUCCUGCUUAAAGCUAAUCUGAGCAGGGUAAGCCGGCCCCUAAGCCGAGGGCGAAAGCCGUAGGCGAUGGGAACUAGGUUAAUAUUCCUAGGCCAGGAGGAUGUGACGGAUCAUGAAGGUUGUUCAUCCUUAUCGGAUUGGAUGGGCCGCUGAUUGGUUCCUGGAAAUAGCCCUCCAUGAGAUCGUACCCUAAACCGACACAGGUGGUCAGGUUGAAAAUACUAAGGCGUUCGGGUGAACUGUGGUUAAGGAAUUCGGCAAAAUGCCCCCGUAACUUCGGGAGAAGGGGGACCACAACCGGUGACACACAUUCGUGUUGAGCUGGUUGGGGUCGCAGAGAAGAGAGGGGAGCGACUGUUUAUCAAAAACACAGGGCUUUGCUAAAUUGAAA